GACAAUUUCGCGAAAAUUGGUUCACCUUUUGUGGAUCCCCCGCAUGACAUUCAGAAUAUUUCAGAGGCAGCGUCAAAAACGCGAUAUGAACCAUGACGGCCGAAAAGGAGAACGAAGCCGCACAGAACUUGACUGCAACGCCAUCCAAAUGGUUGGCAGUCAAUGGGCCAUCGCCUAGGCCUAUUUGGAUUGCACAGUGGCGGUCACAAAAAACUAAUGGCUUGCCGCCAUCUGUAUGACAAAUACUGACACAGAGGCCACGGGGACGCAUCUCAAAGUGACAAGUCAAGCGGAGAAGGUGCAGAGGAUCCAAGGACGCUGCGGCCUGUGUGAUAUGUUAAUUUGGCCUAAACUACACACACACCACACACCAACGGAAAAUGGCGAACUGCGGAUGGGGAAAACGAAAACGAAAACGAAAGCGAGUGCGAAUGCGAAUGCGAAACGCGUCCUUCGCCAGCAAAUCCCAAAGGCGAAAUGUGUCAUAUAUUCACCAGUUGGCUGCGGAUUUUAAAGAAACACGAAAAAGAAAGCAAUAUUUUCUUAUUUCUCCACCGCUUCGAUCGAAUGUCUUUGGCAGCUUUUGGUUGCACGGACAUGGGGCAGUUUUGAUUUAUGCCACAAGAUGCGACAGUCUUUGUGGAGUAUAUGAUAAUAAAUCAGUUUUUAAGGUUUAAUGGUGUAAGAGAAAAGAAGGAAAAUCACU
Drosophila melanogaster (fruit fly) is the source of this 706-nucleotide non-coding RNA. The record is from Ensembl. NCBI's taxonomy places the organism in Eukaryota, Metazoa, Arthropoda, Insecta, Diptera, Drosophilidae.